GAAAGGAGAAGAGUGUAAAUCUCUCACAUUAAGCAAACAUUCUCUGUUCCUGUCUCAACACUCAGCCAGUUCACCGUGUCUCUUUGUAAGCAAACAGCAUCAGGAAGGCAAAAACAAAGAAGCUACCCUGCAGCCUUUCACUACAGCACUACUUUAGCCACCUGCCUCAUUAAGUUUCUUGCAUGACAGGUGAGUUUGCCAAAGCACUGCGGAGGAACUAGAUUUUGUUUUUGUGUGAAAUAUUUUUUAA
Molecule: long non-coding RNA, 250 nt
Organism: Dermochelys coriacea (leatherback sea turtle)
Lineage: Eukaryota; Metazoa; Chordata; Testudines; Dermochelyidae
Exons: 3
Source: RefSeq, a predicted model, not a curated record